RNA transcript from Zalophus californianus (California sea lion), 4577 nucleotides. It is a transcript of the gene named THO complex 5, with no coding region annotated. The transcript has 24 exons. The record is from RefSeq and is a predicted model, not a curated record. NCBI's taxonomy places the organism in Eukaryota, Metazoa, Chordata, Mammalia, Carnivora, Otariidae.
GGGGCGCAGGGAUAGCGGGCAAGGUCGGAGGGGUGGAGCGGGGCUGGGCGCUCCGGGACAGAGGUGCAGACCUCCGGGAGGGCGUCCCCAGGCUGGGGGUCGACCCGAGUUCUCCGUGCUCACUCUCCGGGGUCCCCAGCCGCUCGGCGCCGCGCGCUCAGUCUUCUUCAGGUGUUCAACAUUAUUUCAGAUCACCCAUGUACCAUCUAAAGCCCCAGUCCUAGGUCGUCAUCAUCACCUUCACCAGCGGAGUGCCUCCUGUGUCAAUGUCCACAGCAACCCCUGAGGUCUCUGCUUUUUCCUCCUGACCUCACCAAACAACCAUGUCAUCAGAAUCAAGCAAAAAACGAAAGCCCAAAGUGAUCCGAAGUGAUGGAGCUCCAGCUGAAGGGAAGCGUAACCGUUCUGACACAGAGCAGGAAGGUAAAUACUACAGCGAGGAGGCUGAAGUGGACCUGCGGGACCCUGGCAGAGACUAUGAACUGUAUAAGUACACAUGCCAGGAGCUACAGAGGCUCAUGGCUGAGAUCCAGGACCUGAAGAGCAGAGGAGGCAAGGAUGUGGCAGUUGAGAUAGAAGAUCGGAGGAUCCAGAGCUGUGUGCAUUUCAUGACUCUAAAGAAGCUUAAUCGAUUAGCCCACAUCAGGUUGAAGAAAGGAAGAGAUCAGACCCAUGAGGCCAAGCAGAAAGUAGACGCCUAUCACCUGCAGCUGCAGAACCUGUUGUAUGAGGUGAUGCACCUGCAGAAAGAGAUCACCAAAUGUCUGGAGUUUAAGUCAAAGCAUGAAGAAAUUGAUUUGGUCAGUUUAGAGGAAUUUUAUAAGGAGGCUCCACCAGAUAUUAGCAAGGCUGAAGUCACCAUGGGAGACCCCCACCAGCAAACCCUUGCACGUCUGGACUGGGAGCUGGAACAGCGGAAAAGGCUGGCAGAGAAGUACCGGGAGUGCCUGUCCAACAAGGAAAAGAUCCUUAAGGAGAUUGAGGUGAAGAAGGAGUACCUAAGCAGCCUCCAGCCUCGCCUCAAUAGCAUCAUGCAGGCUUCCCUCCCCGUGCAAGAGUACCUGUUCAUGCCGUUCGACCAGGCUCACAAGCAAUAUGAGACAGCUAGACACCUGCCACCUCCCCUCUAUGUCCUCUUUGUUCAAGCCACUGCAUAUGGGCAGGCCUGUGCUCAUAUGAAAUCCUCCCAGCCCCCUAGACAGGAUAAGACCUUGUCUGUGGCAAUUGAAGGCAGUGUGGACGAAGCCAAGGCUCUGUUUAAGCCUCCUGAAGACUCCCAAGAUGAUGAGAGCGACUCGGAUGCUGAGGAGGAACAGACCACGAAACGCCGGCGACCCACACUGGGAGUUCAGUUGGAUGACAAACGCAAGGAGAUGCUGAAGAGGCACCCGCUGUCUGUCAUGCUGGACCUGAAGUGCAAAGAUGACAGCGUGCUUCACCUGACUUUCUACUACCUCAUGAACCUCAACAUCAUGACGGUAAAAGCCAAAGUGACGACUGCCACGGAGCUGAUCACCCCCAUCAGUGCAGGUGACUUGCUGUCUCCUGACUCAGUCCUGAGCUGUUUGUAUCCAGGGGACCACGGAAAGAAAACUCCAAAUCCAGCCAAUCAGUAUCAGUUUGAUAAAGUUGGCAUCCUGACUUUGAGAGACUACGUACUUGACCUAGGUCACCCCUAUUUGUGGGUACAAAAGCUGGGUGGCCUCCACUUCCCCAAAGAACAGCCCCAGCACACGGUGAUUGCUGACCACUCGCUGAGCGCCAGCCACAUGGAGACCACCAUGAAACUGCUGAAGACCAGGGUGCAGUCCCGCCUGGCCCUUCAUAAACAGUUUGCAUCCCUGGAACAUGGCAUUGUACCAGUUACCAGUGAUUGCCAGUGCCUCUUCCCUGCAAAGGUUGUCUCCCGCCUGGUGAAGUGGGUGACAAUUGCCCAUGAGGAUUACAUGGAGCUGCAUUUCACCAAGGACAUUGUGGAGGCGGGACUGGCUGAGGACACCAAUCUCUACUACAUGGCACUUGUGGAAAGGGGCACAGCCAAACUCCAGGCUGCUGUGGUGCUGAACCCUGGAUACUCCUCCAUCCCACCCAUUUUCCAGCUCUGUCUGAACUGGAAAGGGGAGAAAACCAAUAGCAACGAUGACAACAUUCGGGCCAUGGAGAGUGAGGUCAACGUGUGCUACAAGGAGCUGUGCGGCCCCCGGCCCAGCCAUCAGCUCUUGACCAACCAGCUGCAGCGCCUGUGUGUGCUGCUGGAUGUCUACCUGGAGACUGACAGCCAUGACGACAGCGUGGAGGGGCCCAAGGAGUUUCCCCAGGAGAAGAUGUGUCUGAGGCUUUUCAGGGGUCCCAGCAGGAUGAAGCCAUUUAAAUAUAACCAUCCUCAAGGAUUCUUCAGCCAUCGCUGACCUCCCACUCAGCCUGUUGUCUCCCCCUAUGCCCGAAGUGCUGUGCCUCUAUUUUCUGCUUUGGCCCACAUGUGGCUCUUGAUAUUCUCCAAAGACAGCUUCUAGAGUUGGCUUGUGGUUCAUUCCUCCAUCUUGAAAGUGCAUCACUCCAGUCUCUGCUUCUAUCAUCCCAUCACUUCCUCCUCCAACUCUGACACCUGCUCCCUCUAGUGAGGAGCCUUGUGAUGACAAUGGACCCAUCCGGAUAAACCAGGCACUGUGGACAUUUAUCAUUGUUACUGCCCAGCAUCCAUUCCUUUUUCUUCUGAUAACAGUACCUCUAAUUUCCUUUGGGAACCACACCUUCCAAACUCUCAAUUUCAGUUUGUGGGGCCUGACAUAUUUCCCCAGCUCCAGGCAUGGGCAAGUGACCAUGCUUAGCUCAUCAGUGUCUUGUGCAUGGCCAGAGAGGAGUACGUGACCUCACCAGCCCAGUGAGAACCAACCCCUGGACUUUUCCUGAAACAUUGAACAAGAAUUCUCUUCUCCCCCUGAGUUGACUCAAGUAGUGGCAUGUAAGCCUGAAGCUGGAGACCACAGGGAGAGGUCCUGCCUGAGAAUGAAGCCUACACAAAAGAAAAUAGCCAAGAGGUGGAGAAAGGAAUGGCAGCAUCUUGAGGAACAUCAUUUGAGAAUUCCACUGGAUCUAGCUUUAUCUGAAGCAAGUCAACCUUCUUGAACUCCUUGGUUGUAUAAGCUGAUAUAGUUACCAUCAUAAUAUUAAUCAGUAGCAAUAGUAUUUUGCUUAAACUAGUUUGAUUCUGUUUUGACUACCUACAGCAGAAAUAAUGCUGAUGAAUAUGGGAACCUCCAGUGUGUCCCCUCAGGAGCUGCUGAUCAGAAUUCUCUGGAACAUUGCUGUGGAGUUAUCAGUGCUGCCCCCCUAAAAAAGUUCCCCCUCUUCUCCCUCUAGCACUUAGUAAGACUGCUCUGCCUGUCUCCUCUGGUGUUAGAUAUAACUGUGUGAAUUGCUUUGGCCAGUGCAAUGUUACCAGAAGAGACCUGUAUCACUCCUAGAUAGGACUUUUAAGAAUCUGUGCAUGGUUUGUCACAUUCGCUCUCCCCUGCCUCAGUGAACUUGGAAACCUGGAUCUAGAUGGAUCACCUAUUAGCUUGGUUCUUGAGUGACCACUAUGAACAGACACCCCUGCUGACCCACACUGGAUGUGUAGUGUGAGUGAGAAAGAUGUUUUCUUUGGGCUAAGCCACUGAGAUGUUUAUUAUCAUAGAACCCAACCUAGUGUUUCUGAAACAAUUCCCCUCGGGAAAAAAUGAAGGAUGUUUUUCAUCAACCCAGUUAUGUUUGCUGAGCCAACAGCUAGUCAGCAGGAAGGGCACAUCCCAAAGCAGUCAGCUUGUUUUCAUUUAUCGUCUGUAUCCCCCAGGCCCUUGACAUCUGACAAGCAAUUUCUUUUGUAUCCUCCCAGAGGGAGAAUUAUUUUGUUUGGCAGAUGGUUAAAGUUAGUCCUAGUUGGUAUCUGGCCAGCUAAUCCUGCCUACGGCACUGGGAGCAUGUCCACUUAGGGCAAAGAGGAGGCAUGGCCGGGUCAGAUCCUUCUGCCCUGCCUGUGCCACUUGGGGUUACCAUGAGAAUGAUAUCACCGAGGAAGGCUGGGGCUUUUGGUGUUCCAGAUACCUACAGCAUCUGGUUUGGGGUGUCCAUGUAAUAGGAGGCAGAAUGGCAAAGAAAGGAAGAGUCUGGGCUCUGGUCAGACAGGUUCAAAUUUAAAUCCAGCCUCCACAUCUUCCUGGCUCUGGGACUUUGGGCAAAGUCACCUCUCUGAGCCUCAGUUUUCUCAGCUGAGAAAUGCAAGUUUAGUAGUGCUCAUUUCACUGGGCUGUUGUUAGACUGUGGAUAUAAAAUGUGUAGCCUAGCACCCAGUCCUUGGAAGGUGGUGAUCAUGAUGGUACCAAAGCUGAUGACCUGGAUUCUAAUCUUGUCUCCUGUGGACAUUGGCUGAGUCAAUGAUUUGUAAGAGCCCUUGUAUUUCUAAUGCCUAUCAUGUCUUGCCUAUGAUUUCAAAACUGAGAAAGUAUAAAUUUUCUAAAUAAGGGUCACUGAAGACAUUUUUAAAAAAAUCAGACUCUUUAUGGACAACUGGGUGGCUCAGUCGUUGGGCGCCUGCCUUC